AGAAUGUCACAUCAUGUGUACUUGUCCUUUUAGCUGCAGCAUCAUUGAGACUCCACAGGUGACACCUGACAGGAUACAGCCCGACAAUCCAGGUAGCGACGCAGGUCUACGACUUACUCUUGCACAUCUGUUUGCAAUUGUCUAAUUCGGAUGCUGGAUUUCCUGGGGAGUUAAGCUUCUGUUAUGGCUCACAAAUCUCUCCGUUCGGCUGCUCACUCAUUCUGACAUCCACUGCUCAGGAAGGGACCUGUUUGAGGUGCAUACUAAGCCCCCCCUCACUUACCAUGCAUUCACUUCCUGCCAGUUCCUGCAAGAGGAAGGCAUUGAUGCUAUGGACUGGACCACCCAUUCCCCAGACCUGAAUCCAAUUGAGCACAUCUGGGACGUCUCGCUCCAUCCACCACAGACUGUCCAAGAGUUGGCAGAUGUUUAAGUCCAGGUCUGGGAGGACAUCCCUCUGGAGACCAUCCUCCACCUCAUCAAGAGCAUGCCCAGGCGUUGUAGGGAGGUCAUACAGGCACAUGGAGGCCACACGCACUACUGAACCUCAUUUUGACUUGUUUUAUGGACAUUACAUCAAAGUAAGAUCAGCCUGUAGUGUGGUUUUC
This is a long non-coding RNA of Hyla sarda, 608 nucleotides long. RefSeq lists it as uncharacterized. The transcript has 3 exons. NCBI's taxonomy places the organism in Eukaryota, Metazoa, Chordata, Amphibia, Anura, Hylidae. The record is from RefSeq and is a predicted model, not a curated record.